AACGAACGCUGGCGGCAUGCCUAACACAUGCAAGUCGAACGAAGCCUUCGGGCUUAGUGGCGCACGGGUGCGUAACACGUGGGAAUCUGCCCUUCGGUUCGGAAUAACAGUUAGAAAUGACUGCUAAUACCGGAUGAUGACGAAAGUCCAAAGAUUUAUCGCCGAAGGAUGAGCCCGCGUAGGAUUAGGUAGUUGGUAGGGUAAUGGCCUACCAAGCCGACGAUCCUUAGCUGGUCUGAGAGGAUGAUCAGCCACACUGGGACUGAGACACGGCCCAGACUCCUACGGGAGGCAGCAGUGGGGAAUAUUGGACAAUGGGCGAAAGCCUGAUCCAGCAAUGCCGCGUGAGUGAUGAAGGCCUUAGGGUUGUAAAGCUCUUUUACCAGGGAUGAUAAUGACAGUACCUGGAGAAUAAGCUCCGGCUAACUCCGUGCCAGCAGCCGCGGUAAAGUAUCG
This 456-nucleotide ribosomal RNA is filed under the name uncultured bacterium. RNAcentral describes it as "bacterial SSU rRNA". It matches the Rfam family "Bacterial small subunit ribosomal RNA", at positions 29 to 527 of the family's 1533-position model. The record is from RNAcentral.